Molecule: ribosomal RNA, 538 nt
Filed under: Bifidobacterium pseudolongum subsp. globosum
Lineage: Bacteria; Bacillati; Actinomycetota; Actinomycetes; Bifidobacteriales; Bifidobacteriaceae
Description: bacterial SSU rRNA
Rfam family: Bacterial small subunit ribosomal RNA
Source: RNAcentral
GUGGUAAUGCCGGAUGUUCCACAUGAGCGCAUGCGAGUGUGGGAAAGGCUUUUUGCGGCAUGGGAUGGGGUCGCGUCCUAUCAGCUUGUUGGUGGGGUAACGGCCUACCAAGGCGUUGACGGGUAGCCGGCCUGAGAGGGCGACCGGCCACAUUGGGACUGAGAUACGGCCCAGACUCCUACGGGAGGCAGCAGUGGGGAAUAUUGCACAAUGGGCGCAAGCCUGAUGCAGCGACGCCGCGUGCGGGAUGGAGGCCUUCGGGUUGUAAACCGCUUUUGUUCAAGGGCAAGGCACGGUCUUUGGCCGUGUUGAGUGGAUUGUUCGAAUAAGCACCGGCUAACUACGUGCCAGCAGCCGCGGUAAUACGUAGGGUGCAAGCGUUAUCCGGAUUUAUUGGGCGUAAAGGGCUCGUAGGCGGUUCGUCGCGUCCGGUGUGAAAGUCCAUCGCUUAACGGUGGAUCCGCGCCGGGUACGGGCGGGCUUGAGUGCGGUAGGGGAGACUGGAAUUCCCGGUGUAACGGUGGAAUGUGUAGAUAUC